UGAUUCAUUUGUUGCCUUCUCCCUACUAA
This 29-nucleotide non-coding RNA is filed under the name Rattus norvegicus (Norway rat). Lineage: Eukaryota; Metazoa; Chordata; Mammalia; Rodentia; Muridae. The record is from RNAcentral.